Molecule: ribosomal RNA, 383 nt
Filed under: uncultured bacterium
Lineage: Bacteria
Description: bacterial SSU rRNA
Rfam family: Bacterial small subunit ribosomal RNA
Source: RNAcentral
AUUGAACGCUGGCGGCAUGCCUUACACAUGCAAGUCGAACGGCAGCACGGGAGCAAUCCUGGUGGCGAGUGGCGAACGGGUGAGUAAUAUAUCGGAACGUGCCCGGUCGUGGGGAUAACGUAGCGAAAGCUACGCUAAUACCGCAUACGAUCUACGGAUGAAAGCGGGGGAUCGCAAGACCUCGCGCGAUUGGAGCGGCCGAUAUCAGAUUAGGUAGUUGGUGAGGUAAAGGCUCACCAAGCCGACGAUCUGUAGCUGGUCUGAGAGGACGACCAGCCACACUGGGACUGAGACACGGCCCAGACUCCUACGGGAGGCAGCAGUGGGGAAUUUUGGACAAUGGGCGCAAGCCUGAUCCAGCAAUGCCGCGUGCAGGAUGAAGG